This 301-nucleotide ribosomal RNA is filed under the name uncultured bacterium. RNAcentral describes it as "partial 16S ribosomal RNA". It matches the Rfam family "Bacterial small subunit ribosomal RNA", at positions 509 to 807 of the family's 1533-position model. The record is from RNAcentral.
CAGUCGCCGCGGUAAUACGUAGGGCGCAAGCGUUGUCCGGAAUUAUUGGGCGUAAAGAGCUCGUAGGCGGUCUGUCGCGUCUGGUGUGAAAUCCCGAGGCUCAACCUCGGGCUUGCAUCGGGUACGGGCAGACUAGAGUGCGGUAGGGGAGACUGGAAUUCCUGGUGUGGCGGUGGAAUGCGCAGAUAUCAGGAGGAACACCGAUGGCGAAGGCAGGUCUCUGGGCCGCAACUGACGCUGAGGAGCGAAAGCAUGGGGAGCGAACAGGAUUAGAUACCCCUGUAGUCCCUGUCUCUUAUAC